CCCGCACAAGCGGAGGAGCAUGUGUUUAAUUCGAUGAUACGCGAGGAACCUUACCUGGGCUCGAACGUAAGAUGACUGUAGGUGAAAGCUUACAUCUCUUCGGAGCAUUUUACGAGGUGCUGCAUGGUUGUCGUCAGCUCGUGCCGUGAGGUGUCGGGUUAAGUCCCAUAACGAGCGCAACCCCUACCUUUAGUUGCCAUCAGGUAAUGCUGGGGACUCUAAAGGAACUGCCUACGCAAGUAGUGAGGAAGGCGGGGAUGACGUCAAAUCAGCACGGCCCUUACGUCCAGGGCUACACACGUGCUACAAUGGCCGAUACAGAGGGCAGCUACCUGGUGACAGGAUGCAAAUCUCCAAAGUCGGUCUCAGUUCGGAUCGGAGUCUGCAACCCGACUCCGUGAAGUUGGAUUCGCUAGUAAUCGCGCAUCAGCCAUGGCGCGGUGAAUACGUUCCCGGGCCUU
This 461-nucleotide ribosomal RNA is filed under the name uncultured Sphingobacteriales bacterium. RNAcentral describes it as "bacterial SSU rRNA". It matches the Rfam family "Bacterial small subunit ribosomal RNA", at positions 920 to 1382 of the family's 1533-position model. The record is from RNAcentral. Lineage: Bacteria; Pseudomonadati; Bacteroidota; Sphingobacteriia; Sphingobacteriales.